GUUAUAAAGUGCUUGUGGUUGAACUUGAUAUUAGAUCUGAAAACCAGAAAAAGAAACAGAUCCACGGUGGCUCAGCCUGAUGUGGCGACGAAGAAGGUGACAAAAACAGAUAAAGAGAUCGGAUAUUCUUAAGAUCUACUUAGUUUUAGGGUUUUUGUUGUUCAAUAGAUAAAAACGUUGAUUAUUUUUUGCUCUUAUAAAUUUGUUUUUCAAUACAUUGAUUCUUUUCCAAUUUUAUUUAUUUUCUUUUAAAUUUAAUGAUUUGGAUAAUACAAAG
This 277-nucleotide long non-coding RNA is filed under the name Brassica napus (rape). RNAcentral describes it as "long non-coding RNA (BNAP_LNC007675)". Lineage: Eukaryota; Viridiplantae; Streptophyta; Magnoliopsida; Brassicales; Brassicaceae. The record is from RNAcentral.